This 270-nucleotide unclassified non-coding RNA is filed under the name Hevea brasiliensis (rubber tree). Lineage: Eukaryota; Viridiplantae; Streptophyta; Magnoliopsida; Malpighiales; Euphorbiaceae. The record is from RNAcentral.
UCCAAAAAGAUGGGUUCUAUGGCUCAAUUUAUAUAUUGGCUAAACCUAUAUGUCUGCUAAAAUUCUGCAUCAGCAUUCAAAAGCUGUCCUUUCAAAGUUUAAAGCCCCAAAAUACUCCAACAAAAGCACCCUCUUAUCUACUUUUUCAUCAGAAGGGAUAAAUACAAAAGAUUUGAUUUUUUUUGUCAGUUAUAAUAGGAACAAAAAAAAUUAUACAAGGAAGAGGCAAGGUGAUGGUAACAAAAAGGGAACUAUUUUUGGGUGUGUGUG